GACGAACGCUGGCGGCGUGCUUAACACAUGCAAGUCGAACGGUAAGGCCCUUCGGGGUACACGAGUGGCGAACGGGUGAGUAACACGUGGGUGAUCUGCCCUGCACUUCGGGAUAAGACUGGGAAACUGGGUCUAAUACCGGAUAGGACUCCGGACUGCAUGGUCUGGGGUGGAAAGCUUUUGUGGUGUGGGAUGGGCCCGCGGCCUAUCAGCUUGUUGGGGGGGUGAUGGCCGACCAAGGCGACGACGGGUAGCCGGCCUGAGAGGGUGACCGGCCACACUGGGACUGAGAUACGGCCCAGACUCCUACGGGAGGCAGCAGUGGGGAAUAUUGCACAAUGGGCGCAAGCCUGAUGCAGCGACGCCGCGUGAGGGAUGACGGCCUUCGGGUUGUAAACCUCUUUCAGCAUCGACGAAGCGAAAGUGACGGUAGGUGCAGAAGAAGGACCGGCCAACUACGUGCCAGCCGCCGCAGUAA
This 478-nucleotide ribosomal RNA is filed under the name uncultured bacterium. RNAcentral's name for it is "partial 16S ribosomal RNA". It matches the Rfam family "Bacterial small subunit ribosomal RNA", at positions 28 to 523 of the family's 1533-position model. The record is from RNAcentral.